AUUGAACGCUGGCGGCAUGCUUUACACAUGCAAGUCGAACGGUAACAGGGUGCUUGCACCGCUGACGAGUGGCGAACGGGUGAGUAAUAUAUCGGAACGAGCCCAGUCGUGGGGGAUAACGUAGCGAAAGCUACGCUAAUACCGCAUACGAUCUAUGGAUGAAAGCGGGGGAUCGCAAGACCUCGCGCGAUUGGAGCGGCCGAUAUCAGAUUAGGUAGUUGGUGAGGUAAAGGCUCACCAAGCCGACGAUCUGUAGCUGGUCUGAGAGGACGACCAGCCACACUGGGACUGAGACACGGCCCA
RNAcentral lists this ribosomal RNA (303 nucleotides) under uncultured bacterium. RNAcentral's name for it is "bacterial SSU rRNA". It matches the Rfam family "Bacterial small subunit ribosomal RNA", at positions 30 to 333 of the family's 1533-position model. The record is from RNAcentral.